Molecule: ribosomal RNA, 253 nt
Filed under: uncultured bacterium
Lineage: Bacteria
Description: partial 16S ribosomal RNA
Rfam family: Bacterial small subunit ribosomal RNA
Source: RNAcentral
UACGUAGGUGGCAAGCGUUGUCCGGAUUUACUGGGUGUAAAGGGCGUGUAGCCGGGUUGACAAGUCAGAUGUGAAAUCCUGCGGCUUAACCGCAGAACUGCAUUUGAGACUGUUGAUCUUGAGUACUGGAGAGGCAGACGGAAUUCCUAGUGUAGCGGUGAAAUGCGUAGAUAUUAGGAGGAACUCCGAUUGCGAAGGCAGCGUACCGGCGCCCAACUGACGCUGAAGCACGAAGGCGUGGGUAUCGAACAGG